GGGGGCACAUGUUCCAGGGUGGCGAGAAACCCUUGCAAGGUUUUUGGGCGGGUUCAAUUCCCGUUGCCUCCACCA
This 75-nucleotide transfer RNA is filed under the name Pseudobdellovibrionaceae bacterium. RNAcentral describes it as "tRNA-Ala". It matches the Rfam family "tRNA". Rfam says of the family: Transfer RNA (tRNA) molecules are approximately 80 nucleotides in length. Their secondary structure includes four short double-helical elements and three loops (D, anti-codon, and T loops). Further hydrogen bonds mediate the characteristic L-shaped molecular structure. tRNAs have two regions of fundamental functional importance: the anti-codon, which is responsible for specific mRNA codon recognition, and the 3' end, to which the tRNAs corresponding amino acid is attached (by aminoacyl-tRNA synthetases). tRNAs cope with the degeneracy of the genetic code in two manners: having more than one tRNA (with a specific anti-codon) for a particular amino acid; and 'wobble' base-pairing, i.e. permitting non-standard base-pairing at the 3rd anti-codon position. The record is from RNAcentral. Lineage: Bacteria; Pseudomonadati; Bdellovibrionota; Bdellovibrionia; Bdellovibrionales; Pseudobdellovibrionaceae.